RNAcentral lists this ribosomal RNA (404 nucleotides) under uncultured bacterium. RNAcentral's name for it is "bacterial SSU rRNA". It matches the Rfam family "Bacterial small subunit ribosomal RNA", at positions 362 to 776 of the family's 1533-position model. The record is from RNAcentral.
UAUUGCACAAUGGGCGCAAGCCUGAUGCAGCGACGCCGCGUGGGGGAUGACGGCCUUCGGUUUGUAAACUCCUUUCGCUAGGGAUGAAGCUUUUUGUGACGGUACCUAGAGAAGAAGCACCGGCUAACUACGUGCCAGCAGCCGCGGUAAUACGUAGGGUGCGAGCGUUGUCCGGAAUUACUGGGCGUAAAGGGCGCGUAGGUGGUUUGUCGCGUCGUCUGUGAAAUUCCGGGGCUUAACUCCGGGCGUGCAGGCGAUACGGGCAUAACUUGAGUACUGUAGGAGUAACUGGAAUUCCUGGUGUAGCGGUGAAAUGCGCAGAUAUCAGGAGGAACACCGAUGGCGAAGGCAGGUUACUGGGCAGUUACUGACGCUGAGGAGCGAAAGCAUGGGUAGCGAACAAG